GUACAAAGAAUGACAAAACUCUCUUAAGGCCACUUGGUUUCUCAGAUUCUCAAAGGGAAGAAAUAAUGGAUAUUAUUUAAUAACAGAAUUUCUAGGCUUAGGGCUGUGCGUUUGUGAGGAGCCCCAAUUCAUAUUUCCAUGGACCAAAAGGGCCCCUUUCCCACCAACGUGUGAAGCAAUGGGAGGUGAGACCUCACCUUAAACACCAAGUAUGUUCUCUGAUCCAGCAUAAAAAAGGCCCUUGAAAUCCUUUUCCCCAGACCGCCACACAUGUUGGUGGAAGGUCUCUCCUUUACUCGAUGCUCAAACUGUCGAGUCCCUCGCUGCAUGACCUGCUCCUCCUCUUCUGCUGAGGCCAAAAUGUGUCAAAUGGACAGAUGGCUCUGCCAGAGAUAGUCAGAUUUUGUCAAAUCAAGAAAAUUAAAGCCAGGCCCUGUCAUAAAAACACAGCUUAUGGGUCUGCCGGAUGCACCAGCGAAACCGGUCUCGUUCACAGCUGCACUCCCUCCUGGCAUUUCAACGUUGGCCAAAUGUUGAUUCGAAGCAUAACUGACUCAGAAAUCUCGCAGGCAACCUCUGCUUCAGCCGACACAGCCGACUGCUUUUGGGGAUCUAGGUAAUUAUUCAUUUGACCUUGAAGUUUUGACGACUUUUAUUUGUUAUGAGCCCAUGAAUUCAAGAUCCAGAAAAAUGGUCAUUACCCUUACACUGCAUUCAAGCACAUUAUAGAAACAGAAGCGGUGGUAAAUAUAACACACCAAAAGUUACGGGCUUGCUACUGAAGGGGCCCAGACAGCAUCAG
RNAcentral lists this long non-coding RNA (802 nucleotides) under Bos taurus (domestic cattle). RNAcentral describes it as "long non-coding RNA NONBTAT016528". Lineage: Eukaryota; Metazoa; Chordata; Mammalia; Artiodactyla; Bovidae. The record is from RNAcentral.